RNAcentral lists this ribosomal RNA (432 nucleotides) under uncultured bacterium. Its description in RNAcentral is "partial 16S ribosomal RNA". It matches the Rfam family "Bacterial small subunit ribosomal RNA", at positions 29 to 507 of the family's 1533-position model. The record is from RNAcentral.
AGCGAACGCUGGCGGCAGGCUUAACACAUGCAAGUCGAGCGGACCUUUCGGGGUCAGCGGCGGACGGGUGAGUAACGCGUGGGAACGUGCCUUCCGGUUCGGAAUAACCCUGGGAAACUAGGGUUAAACCGGGUAAGCCCCUUUUGGGAAAGGUUUACUGCCGGAAGAUCGGCCCGCGGCUGAUUAGCUAGUUGGUGGGGUAACGGCCUACCAAGGCGACGAUCAGUAGCUGGUCUGAGAGGAUGAUCAGCCACACUGGGACUGAGACACGGCCCAGACUCCUACGGGAGGCAGCAGUGGGGAAUAUUGGACAAUGGGCGCAAGCCUGAUCCAGCCAUGCCGCGUGAGUGAUGAAGGCCUUAGGGUUGUAAAGCUCUUUUAUCCGGGACGAUAAUGACGGUACCGGAGGAAUAAGCCCCGGCUAACUUCGUG